This 983-nucleotide ribosomal RNA is filed under the name uncultured Bacillus sp. Its description in RNAcentral is "bacterial SSU rRNA". It matches the Rfam family "Bacterial small subunit ribosomal RNA", at positions 60 to 1026 of the family's 1533-position model. The record is from RNAcentral. Lineage: Bacteria; Bacillati; Bacillota; Bacilli; Caryophanales; Bacillaceae.
GGUCGAGCGGACAGAUGGGAGCUUGCUCCCUGAUGUUAGCGGCGGACGGGUGAGUAACACGUGGGUAACCUGCCUGUAAGACUGGGAUAACUCCGGGAAACCGGGGCUAAUACCGGAUGGUUGUUUGAACCGCAUGGUUCAAACAUAAAAGGUGGCUUCGGCUACCACUUACAGAUGGACCCGCGGCGCAUUAGCUAGUUGGUGAGGUAACGGCUCACCAAGGCAACGAUGCGUAGCCGACCUGAGAGGGUGAUCGGCCACACUGGGACUGAGACACGGCCCAGACUCCUACGGGAGGCAGCAGUAGGGAAUCUUCCGCAAUGGACGAAAGUCUGACGGAGCAACGCCGCGUGAGUGAUGAAGGUUUUCGGAUCGUAAAGCUCUGUUGUUAGGGAAGAACAAGUACCGUUCGAAUAGGGCGGUACCUUGACGGUACCUAACCAGAAAGCCACGGCUAACUACGUGCCAGCAGCCGCGGUAAUACGUAGGUGGCAAGCGUUGUCCGGAAUUAUUGGGCGUAAAGGGCUCGCAGGCGGUUUCUUAAGUCUGAUGUGAAAGCCCCCGGCUCAACCGGGGAGGGUCAUUGGAAACUGGGGAACUUGAGUGCAGAAGAGGAGAGUGGAAUUCCACGUGUAGCGGUGAAAUGCGUAGAGAUGUGGAGGAACACCAGUGGCGAAGGCGACUCUCUGGUCUGUAACUGACGCUGAGGAGCGAAAGCGUGGGGAGCGAACAGGAUUAGAUACCCUGGUAGUCCACGCCGUAAACGAUGAGUGCUAAGUGUUAGGGGGUUUCCGCCCCUUAGUGCUGCAGCUAACGCAUUAAGCACUCCGCCUGGGGAGUACGGUCGCAAGACUGAAACUCAAAGGAAUUGACGGGGGCCCGCACAAGCGGUGGAGCAUGUGGUUUAAUUCAAGCAACGCGAAAAACCUUACCAGGUCUUGACAUCCUCUGACAAUCCUAAGAUAGGACGUCCCCUUCGGGGG